UCUCCAGUAGUUGGCUGUUUUCAGUAUUCAUAAUCAUACGAUUUGAUAAUCGAUGAUGAGAAUUACCAGCCAUUUUGUUUUGGAAAUUUGUUUUGGAAAUUUGAAUAAUGAAAUCUCCAGUAGUUGGCUGCUUUCAGUUUCAGACCGUUUUUUCAUGAUUAUCUUUACCAUCUUCUCUCUUUCCAAUAACUCUAGAAGCCUGACUUUCCGAUCAUGGUCUCCAUUCAGAGCAAUUCGUCAUUUAAUGGCGAUACAAGCCUAACUAUCCAAUUUCUUUGCCAUUCGCCAUCAUCAAAAUUUCAGAAAGGAACUCUCCCACUAUUUGUUCAAGCCCUCUAUGGCCUCUCGUCACCGAAUAAGAGUCGAGAUUACUUUUUGGAUCACACCUCACCUUUGAUUUUUCAACAUCCUCGUUCCCUCAUCUAGAAUGGAGAAAGCCAUCAUUGUGGUUGGUUGGUUGAGCAUAUUGAUUUGUUCAAUUGCUCAGAUUCAUGGUGAUACCCUCGUGCCUUACUCUUCUGAAGAGUGCUAUCCCUAAAGGAGCAGUUUGUCUUGAUGGGAGCGCUCCUGCUUACUCUUAUGUUGAGGGAUCUGGAAACGGAUCUCACAGUUGGAUGGUGUAUCUGCAACCUGGUGGAUGGUGUUACUCACUAGCCGAAUUUUACAAUAGAUCACUGACACCUUUUGGAAGUAGUAAAUGGAUGCAGCCUCAAACCAUCUUUUCGGACAUAAUGGAUUCAAAUUGCAUAUCUUAUCCAGAUUUCUGCACUUGGCACAAGGUUUACCUUCAUUCAUUAUUGUGAUGGUUCAUCAUUUAUGUCAGAUAUAUUGCACUCAAAGUCGAACCUCUCAUUUCGAGGUGCAAGGAUUUUUAAUGUUAUGAUGGAGGAAAUGCUUGGUAAAGGAAUGAGAAAAGCCAAGGAAGCUAUACUCGUUGGGAGCUCUGCAGGUGGACUAGCUACUAUGCUCCAUUGCGAUAAGUUCCGAAAUCUCUUUCCCAAUACUAGCCGGGUUAAGUGCAUUUCUGACUCCGGUUUUUUCCUUCAUGGGAAGGAUUUGCAUGCACACAUAAUAAGGGAACAAUAUUACAGUGGUGUGGUAAAAACACAUGUAUUCUGCUACACUUUUCUACUUUAUAUACUUCUUACCAAGAAAACUCCAUAUGUUUUAGAAUGAUAGGGAACCUCCUCAUAAUUACAUAUUCUGUUAAAUUUAGAUGUAAUGUCUUCUGAUUUUGUUGGUGCAUAAAACUUUAUUACCUUGAAUGUUAACAUGAAUUUUUGCAAGGUUUAAUGUUGGCAUAUCAUAAUUGCAAUAAUUUUUUUCUGUGGCUGAAGGAGUUGGCCAAUGCUUUGCACUUCUAAGAUGAAUCCAAAUUUGUGUUUGUUUCCUGAAUAUUUUACUGGGGAUAUUCAGACACCGGUCUUUGUACUAGAAUCAGCUUUCGAUAGUUUUCAGGUUCUAUACGUGGUAGGAUUCACUAGUUGCGCUCGUAACUUGAACUUAUCGACCUGCAACUCUACUGAAAUAGAACUCAUGAGAGAAUUUCGAAAGACAUUCAUAGAAACAUUAGUUGGACUGAAGAACUCUCUUAGCAGAGGUGUGUUGGUUCACUCUUGCUAUCGUCAUGGCCACUUCCCAGAUUCUCAAACGAGUAUUUCUCUUGCAAAUAAAACAAUCAGGGAAGCCAUUAUAGAUUGGUACUAUGAUCGAAGUUCCAUUCGAGAAGUAGACAUUCAACACGAGUCACCGCAAGAUUGUUCCAUUCAUUCCUCUGUUCCGAUGUCGUUGAACAAGCACUCUACAUCAUUGCCUCAUAGUAAUACAUUGAGUUUUAUUCUCUUCUCUUCUUUUUGUAUUCCUACUCGGGGUGGGAAUUCCGAUAUCCAUGGGUACCCGACCCGAAAAAACCGGGUACCCAAACCCAAAAUUUGUCUAAAAGGCACACCCAAUACCCGACCUGAUUUGUUUUUCGGGUAUCUAAAUAUUCGACUCUUUACAAUUAAUAAAAAGAAAAAAAUGAAAAAUGUAUUAAAUUUUUUAAAGCUAAAA
Salvia splendens (bonfire salvia) is the source of this 2052-nucleotide long non-coding RNA. RefSeq lists it as uncharacterized. The transcript is spliced from 13 exons. NCBI's taxonomy places the organism in Eukaryota, Viridiplantae, Streptophyta, Magnoliopsida, Lamiales, Lamiaceae. The record is from RefSeq and is a predicted model, not a curated record.